This 98-nucleotide signal recognition particle RNA is filed under the name Blastocatellia bacterium AA13. RNAcentral's name for it is "signal recognition particle sRNA small type". It matches the Rfam family "Bacterial small signal recognition particle RNA". From Rfam's summary of the family: The signal recognition particle (SRP) is a universally conserved ribonucleoprotein involved in the co-translational targeting of proteins to membranes. Archaeal SRP consists of a 7S RNA and homologues of the eukaryotic SRP19 and SRP54 proteins. Lineage: Bacteria; Pseudomonadati; Acidobacteriota; Blastocatellia. The record is from RNAcentral.
CUCCGGAAGCCGUGCAAUCACGCGGCCGCAAACCCCGCCAGGCCGGGAACGGAGCAACGGUAGUGGAUCGCUGAUGUGCCGCGGUAACUCCGGAGCCU